UACGGAAGGUGCAAGCAUUAAUCGGAAUUAUUGGGCGUAAAGGGCGCGUAGGCGGCAUUGAAAGUCUUGCGUGAAAAUCCGAAGCUCAACUUCGGAACUGCGUAAGAAACUCCAAAGCUAGAGGGGAGUCGGAGAAAAUAGAAUUCCACGUGUAGCGGUGAAAUGCGUAGAUAUGUGGAAGAAUACCAGUGGCGAAAGCGGUUUUCUAGAUUUUACCUGACGCUGAGGCGCGGGAGCAAGGGGAGCAAACAGG
Molecule: ribosomal RNA, 253 nt
Filed under: uncultured bacterium
Lineage: Bacteria
Description: partial 16S ribosomal RNA
Rfam family: Bacterial small subunit ribosomal RNA
Source: RNAcentral